GACGAACGCUGGCGGCGUGCCUAAUACAUGCAAGUAGAACGCACAGUUUAUACCGUAGCUUGCUACACCAUAGACUGUGAGUUGCGAACGGGUGAGUAACGCGUAGGUAACCUGCCUGGUAGCGGGGGAUAACUAUUGGAAACGAUAGCUAAUACCGCAUAAUAUUAAUUAUUGCAUGAUAAUUAAUUGAAAGGUGCAAUUGCACCACUACCAGAUGGACCUGCGUUGUAUUAGCUAGUAGGUGAGGUAACGGCUCACCUAGGCGACGAUACAUAGCCGACCUGAGAGGGUGAUCGGCCACACUGGGACUGAGACACGGCCCAGACGCCUACGGGAGGCAGCAGUAGGGAAUCUUCGGCAAUGGACGAAAGACUGACCGAGCAACGCCGCGUGAGUGAAGAAGGUUUUCGGAUCGUAAAGCUCUGUUGUAAGAGAAGAACGGGUGUGAGAGUGGAAAGUUCACACUGUGACGGUAUCUUACCAGAAAGGGACGGCUAACUACGUG
RNAcentral lists this ribosomal RNA (505 nucleotides) under uncultured bacterium. RNAcentral describes it as "partial 16S ribosomal RNA". It matches the Rfam family "Bacterial small subunit ribosomal RNA", at positions 28 to 507 of the family's 1533-position model. The record is from RNAcentral.